RNAcentral lists this transfer RNA (71 nucleotides) under Epigonichthys cultellus. RNAcentral's name for it is "tRNA-Leu". It matches the Rfam family "tRNA". From Rfam's summary of the family: Transfer RNA (tRNA) molecules are approximately 80 nucleotides in length. Their secondary structure includes four short double-helical elements and three loops (D, anti-codon, and T loops). Lineage: Eukaryota; Metazoa; Chordata; Leptocardii; Amphioxiformes; Branchiostomatidae. The record is from RNAcentral.
ACUAAAAUAGCAAAAUAGUAUUGCAAAAGGCCUAAGCCCUUCAGUUAUAGGUGCAAGUCCUAUUUUUAGUG